UACGUAGGGGGCUAGCGUUGUCCGGAAUCAUUGGGCGUAAAGCGCGUGUAGGCGGCCCGGUAAGUCCGCUGUGAAAGUCCAGGGCUCAACCCUGGGAUGCCGGUGGAUACUGUCGGGCUCGAGUCCGGAAGAGGCGAGUGGAAUUCCUGGUGUAGCGGUGAAAUGCGCAGAUAUCAGGAGGAACACCAAUGGCGAAGGCAGCUCGCUGGGACGUUACUGACGCUGAGACGCGAAAGCGUGGGGAGCAAACAGG
This 253-nucleotide ribosomal RNA is filed under the name uncultured bacterium. RNAcentral's name for it is "partial 16S ribosomal RNA". It matches the Rfam family "Bacterial small subunit ribosomal RNA", at positions 524 to 776 of the family's 1533-position model. The record is from RNAcentral.